Molecule: unclassified non-coding RNA, 1187 nt
Filed under: Hevea brasiliensis (rubber tree)
Lineage: Eukaryota; Viridiplantae; Streptophyta; Magnoliopsida; Malpighiales; Euphorbiaceae
Source: RNAcentral
GUCAAGGUCUCUACUUCGUAAACUACUACCCUGAAAUGUAUCUUAUUAAGGCUCUAAUCACAUGGUUAAAAGGUUAAAAAUGCCAAAAAAAAAUGAAAAGAAAAAUUACAAGAUAAACAAAGUUAAUAAAAAUAUAAAAGUUUUUUAGUAUAAAUACAACCCUCUCAGGAGUCAGGACAGGGUAUGACAAAUUCACUCCGCAUGCCAUCCCAAGUUCUUCAAUUGUUACACAGGCAGACCCAAUAAGAAAUUUCGGCAGAUAUGAGAUUAACAGAUCCUAAAACUGUAAAAGGUAAGCUUUCAUAAAUAUAGACUACAAGCUAUGCAAAACAACUCCUAUUGCUAAUUGGUUAGGUAAGCUCCUGCAAUGUGUCUUUAAACAGGGUAGCUAGGUCCUAGUGACCACUCUCUGCAAGCUCUGCUUGUCCACUCUUUUGUGUAUUAUUGCUCAAAUGUUGUUCAUCCCUGCCAGACCUAAACUCUUCAUGCCCACCGAAUUCCCCAAGUCUCUCCUGCAAUAAUAAAUCACCAAAAUUGUAUCAUAGCGGAGAUUUUAUUGAAAGUAUGACUUUAUUAAUUCUAUACAUUUCUGUUUUAUAAUGCAUUAAAAUGGGGAUAUUGCCUUUAUGUGCAGCACUUCUGUUGUCCAAGAAGACUUGCUUUGUUGUGGUGUCUUGAGUGCCUUUUGUGAAGAUGAUCAUUUUCAAUCAACAGCCAAACCACACUAUAGUGUUAUAGUGCACAGUUUUUUCUUCUUAUUUUUAACUGUAAUGCAAAUAAAAAUAAAAAGCACCUUCAUUGCAAAUUAUUCCUAAUUGUUUUUCCCAACUUGAAUUUCUAAUAUAGUUCUGCACACCACUGGGUUGGCUCUCUUCCAAGUAAAAUUUUCCAAGGUGUGUAUUCAUAGUGACCUAAAUAAUCAUGAAUUUGAUGAUGGAAAUAUCUUACAAUCUGCUAACCACUUCUUCAUUGUAUGUCCAGCACAGGAUGGGUGGGUGAUGAGCAGUAAAGCGCCACCCCCCUCCCCCCAAACAAACAAAAAAAAAAGAAUCAAAAUUAAACAGAUCAAACCAGGAAGAGAACAUCACCUUGAGAGAUGCAUUUUCCGCAAGAAGUUGCUCGUAGUCGCUCUUGAUCCGGUUUACUUCUGAUCGCAGAUUGGCAUUUUCUUCUUUUAGGGCUUCAGC